This 617-nucleotide ribosomal RNA is filed under the name Pseudomonas sp. PE1-2-6. RNAcentral describes it as "bacterial SSU rRNA". It matches the Rfam family "Bacterial small subunit ribosomal RNA", at positions 65 to 681 of the family's 1533-position model. Lineage: Bacteria; Pseudomonadati; Pseudomonadota; Gammaproteobacteria; Pseudomonadales; Pseudomonadaceae. The record is from RNAcentral.
AGCGGAUGAGAGGAGCUUGCNNNNNUUCAGCGGCGGACGGGUGAGUAAUGCCUAGGAAUCUGCCUGGUAGUGGGGGNNACGUUUCGAAAGGAACGCUAAUACCGCAUACGUCCUACGGGAGAAAGCAGGGGACCUUCGGGCCUUGCGCUAUCAGAUGAGCCUAGGUCGGAUUAGCUAGUUGGUGAGGUAAUGGCUCACCAAGGCGACGAUCCGUAACUGGUCUGAGAGGAUGAUCAGUCACACUGGAACUGAGACACGGUCCAGACUCCUACGGGAGGCAGCAGUGGGGAAUAUUGGACAAUGGGCGAAANNNGAUCCAGCCAUGCCGCGUGUGUGAAGAAGGUCUUCGGAUUGUAAAGCACUUUAAGUUGGGAGGAAGGGCAGUAAAUUAAUACUUUGCUGUUUUGACGUUACCGACAGAAUAAGCACCGGCUAACUCUGUGCCAGCAGCCGCGGUAAUACAGAGGGUGCAAGCGUUAAUCGGAAUUACUGGGCGUAAAGCGCGCGUAGGUGGUUCGUUAAGUUGGAUGUGAAAUCCCCGGGCUCAACCUGGGAACUGCAUUCAAAACUGUCGAGCUAGAGUAUGGUAGAGGGUGGUGGAAUUUCCUGUGUAGCGG